Molecule: long non-coding RNA, 295 nt
Filed under: Linum usitatissimum (flax)
Lineage: Eukaryota; Viridiplantae; Streptophyta; Magnoliopsida; Malpighiales; Linaceae
Description: long non-coding RNA (LUSI_LNC000893)
Source: RNAcentral
CUUAUAAGCAUAGCUUAAACUUGAUUAGCACAUAAGGGAAGAUUAUUAGGUAAGGGCUCCUUCAGUCCCAUCAGUUGGCUAGCUAGGAGUUAUUGCUUCUGAGCAGAUUGGAUCAAAAGAAAUCAUCACUACUUUCUUAUAGAAACAUAAGAUCAAACCAUUAGUUAAUAACCCCCUCAAAAGAAGAAAGAAACAUUACAUCCUUAUGGAGUUAGAUCUUUAGACUCCCUAUCUGGGAAACAAACAAGCAAAUCAGUAAAAAGGAAACAUGAGACACAGAAGACUGAACAGACUA